Molecule: long non-coding RNA, 2585 nt
Organism: Taeniopygia guttata (zebra finch)
Lineage: Eukaryota; Metazoa; Chordata; Aves; Passeriformes; Estrildidae
Source: RefSeq, a predicted model, not a curated record
AAAGAGAAAAAAAAAAACAAAGAAAACAAAACAAAGACAUCCCGAUUUCUGAGCCUGUAACCUCUUUUCAGUGAUGGGGUGCGGGGGGGGAUAACCCACACCAUCUCAGAGAGCUGGAGAAAUGUUCUGCCCAUUCCUCAGCCUCACCCUGCUUCCCCCUGACAACAAACACCUCCUCAGCACGUCAAGAUUCCCGCAAAAACACCCCGCGUGAGAACUGCUCUGGUGCGUACUUGAAAUCGUUGGCAACGAAGGGGUGUUGGGUGCAAGAGGUACGCUCGGGGCAGUGAGGGGUGCCUGGGGCGAGGAUGGGUGCUUGGGGCAAGGAACCUGAAGCGGAGCUUUCUCCUCAGGACUGAGGGCAAGGAAAGAGCUUUCUUUAACAGGGAGGGAGGUAUUAUGUUAUUACAGUAAGGGACGGAGCCUGCCCGUCCUUCCCGGCCCCUCAGGCGGCGGAGGCGCGGCCGCCGGGCUCCCCCUGGAGGUGGCGGGGGGCGGCGGCGGCGGGCAGCGCUGGGCUGCGGCGGCGGGGCCGCGGCCCUCCCUCGCUUGGCAGCUGGAGUAGUAGUAAUGCUAAUGAUAAAAAUUAAAACAACGAAGCCGUUGUUGUUGCUGCUGUUGUUGUUGUUGUUAGUUUAGGGAAUUCACCAGCAAUCGUUGCGUGGACAGCCCCCCUUUAAAGAAGGCUCCGGAAUAGGAGCCAGCCGGGCAGGGCCCGUUGUCUCCCGGCACGGCUUUCCCAAGGAGAGCGGAUCCAUGCCGUCCUCCUGCAGGCAAAGUUGGAUCUGCAUGGCACUUGCGUGCCUGCGAACUGCAGGAUUGCGGGAUCGGGGAUCUGCGGCCACGCUGCUGUUGAAGGAGACCAAAUUUAAGCACAAGAAGAUUACAUAAGGAGGCUCAGUAUCAAUGUUCGACAUUAAGAAGAGUCGUGUAUUUGCUGCCCAUCAUUGACAAACCACCAUCAGCAUAAAAUCACAACAGCAAUAUUCUUUGUGGUGCCUAGCACCUUGGCAUUUAGAAAGUCAAAAUUGUGUUUGGGGUGAAGAAUUCAUGGGAAUAAAAGGACUUUCUGAUCUGCAGGCAUCAAAGAAAUAUGCUUCUCAAAUAUUCAUCAAGUAUAACUCCUGUUUUUUCAGCGCUUCAUGCAGCACGGCAGAUUCAUGAUUCCCUUGAUCUCUCUGAAGGGAGACUCCCAGGCCUCUCACACCUAACCUUUGGCUUUGAAAUCUGCUGACCAGGAAAAGGAGAGCUCCUAAAAUAAGGUGGUGUGUUCUAUGUAGCAAAGGCUUGAACCUUUUGUUCUUCCGGAAGCUCUCUGGGAAUCAGUAAGGCACAAGUUUGAACUCUUUAGCAAGUGCAUAGCCAACUUCUAUAACAGCCAAAACUUGCAUGUUAUGUUCACAUUCAGCUUCAGACAUGACACAACUCAAUAAUCCAUCCUGGAGCUGACAAAAACCAUCUGAUCCUUGUCUGGACCAUGUUUCCAAGCAAGCUGAAGAGAAAAUAAAGUACUUUGAGGAACAGAUGAUACCUUGCUGAGAAAAGGAAAAAAAUAUGUCUCUGAAGCCUCUGCACUUCCCUGUGUCUGUUCACCCACUCUCUCUUUUCACUUUUCUCUGUAUGAGAAACAGGUUUCCAAAGGAAAAAGAACAGCCUAUAUCUCACCUGGAGAGAAGGGAAGAGAACCAGAUUUAUUGAUUUCUUGUCACAGAAUUGGCCAGCAUACCACCAAAAAUGGGACCCUCAUCUUUCAGGAAAGACCGAUAAGGAACAUCCUCAAGGUUCGACAAGAUGUGAGGAAGCAGUCACAACCACAAGGCUCAAAAUAUAGCCAUCCUUACAGCUCCUGUGGAUUUUUCAAAUUUGAAACUGUGUGCCUCAGUCUCAUAACUGGCAAUUACUGCUGACUGAUAGAUCAUGGGGAUGAAAUUAGAAGUGAGAUUCACUUUCAGUCUUGAUGUGGGACCUGUCUUUUCCAUUGGAGCAUAAUACAUACACACAGUAAAUGUAUAUCUGUUGUAAUCAUAAAGCAUACAAAUAAUUUAUGAGACUAAAAAAAAUGGUGUGUUUUUUCCUCAAGAACAAGAAAGGCACAUUCAUGUCUAAGGUUUUGUUUGGCUGUUAUAAAUGACAUUUAUAUAAAUGACAUUUGAUGGCAGGCAUGUGCAUAUACAUCUAUAUGUUUCUGUGUGUAAUGAUAUAUUCUGGGUCACUGAAAUCACAUGGACAUGUCUCCCACCUCCCAGUUUUUCCACACAGCAUGCUCUCACACAGUUCCCUGAAACUUGCCAAGUCCUACAAUAUUUGUAUAUUAGUUAUUCUUUCAUUACAAGUACUCUGCUAUGGCUAAUGAACCUGUACCUCACUCCCUGAAUAGCAAGAAAAGUUAUUUUGGUGGGCUGCUUCCAUCUGACAACAUUUACAGUGUGUACCCAGGAAGAUCUAAAGCAUUAGUAAAGCUAAAUGCCAGAAAGAAGAGAAUUUGGAUUAUCUGCAUUGAGCAGAUCAUGGAUUCACAACAGCAGAAGGGGAUGCUUUCUUACAUCAGCUUCACCAAAUGUCCAGUGAAUUUUCUACACAGUAAA